UACGUAGGGUCCGAGCGUUGUCCGGAAUUACUGGGCGUAAAGAGCUCGUAGGUGGUUUGUCGCGUUGUUCGUGAAAACUCACAGCUCAACUGUGGGCGUGCGGGCGAUACGGGCAGACUGGAGUACUGCAGGGGAGACUGGAAUUCCUGGUGUAGCGGUGGAAUGCGCAGAUAUCAGGAGGAACACCGGUGGCGAAGGCGGCUCUCUGGGCAUUACCUGACGCUGAGGAGCGAAAGUGUGGGGAGCGAACAGG
This 253-nucleotide ribosomal RNA is filed under the name uncultured bacterium. Its description in RNAcentral is "partial 16S ribosomal RNA". It matches the Rfam family "Bacterial small subunit ribosomal RNA", at positions 524 to 776 of the family's 1533-position model. The record is from RNAcentral.